CAGCCAACGAAAUGAAUGCUUUUAAGCGUCUCACAUGCAUAAUAUGAAUAAUUCAUUAUUUAAUACUUCAGGCAUGGUUUACAUUUAAUUAGCCUAACAGAUGGCGCCAACUUCAAGUUCAAAUAAUAGGAAUCGUUAAUUUGAAAUUUCCAGAUGGAAAACCCAACCCAACCGGAAAUUUCCAAGCUUCGAACAAAUGUUAAAUUAAAGUUUAUAUACUUUAAAUUAUAAAAAAAUUUGUCUCAACACCAUAUCUUUUUAAAACUUUUGAUUAUAUAUUUUAUAUUAUAAACUUUAAUUAACUAUUACUUUUUAAAAAAUGUAUAGAUCAAUACAAUUUUUUUUUUAUUGAUA
This is a long non-coding RNA of Daktulosphaira vitifoliae (grape phylloxera), 354 nucleotides long. RefSeq lists it as uncharacterized. The record is from RefSeq and is a predicted model, not a curated record. Lineage: Eukaryota; Metazoa; Arthropoda; Insecta; Hemiptera; Phylloxeridae. The transcript has 2 exons.